GACGAACGCUGGCGGCGUGCCUAAUACAUGCAAGUAGAACGCUGAAGAGAGGAGCUUGCUCUUCUUGGAUGAGUUGCGAACGGGUGAGUAACGCGUAGGUAACCUGCCUUGUAGCGGGGGAUAACUAUUGGAAACGAUAGCUAAUACCGCAUAACAAUAGGUGACACAUGUCAUUUAUUUGAAAGGGGCAAUUGCUCCACCACAAGAUGGACCUGCGUUGUAUUAGCUAGUAGGUGAGGUAACGGCUCACCUAGGCGACGAUACAUAGCCGACCUGAGAGGGUGAUCGGCCACACUGGGACUGAGACACGGCCCAGACUCCUACGGGAGGCAGCAGUAGGGAAUCUUCGGCAAUGGGGGCAACCCUGACCGAGCAACGCCGCGUGAGUGAAGAAGGUUUUCGGAUCGUAAAGCUCUGUUGUAAGUCAAGAACGAGUGUGAGAGUGGAAAGUUCACACUGUGACGGUAGCUUACCAGAAAGGGACGGCUAACUACGUG
Molecule: ribosomal RNA, 497 nt
Filed under: uncultured bacterium
Lineage: Bacteria
Description: partial 16S ribosomal RNA
Rfam family: Bacterial small subunit ribosomal RNA
Source: RNAcentral